CCAGCCUGUAGGCUGGAGCAGGAGCAUCGGGCUGUAGGCAUGGCAGGCAGUGCCUCCCAGCGUCUCCGUGAAAGACUGAAGCUCUCCACCGAGGCCAAAGGGCAUGGCUGGUUCCCUGGAAGAUGCAGAUAGAGAAUGACAAAGGGCUGAAGACCCCUUUGUGCCCUUUCUUGGACAAUGGCCUAAGCCCCCAGCCAGGCAUGGCAGACACUCCGAGAGAGCUGAGCCAGUCGCAACACCCAUGGCCGCUUGAGGGAGGGUAGCCCGGCGCUCCCAGCGGCCUUCAUCAGCCAAGAAGGCCUCCACAGCAGCUACUGGGCUCUGGACUUCAUCCACACCGCCCACCACUAGCACCUGCUUACCCAGAACUACAGCAGCUGCACCAGCCCUGGCGGUGGGCAGGGGUGCUAAUGCUAGCCAUGUGUGCGAGGCCAUGUCCAGUGUCUCAGCAGUGUCCAGAGGUAACCCAGCCCGGCCACAGCCCCCCAACACCAGCAGGUGUCCAUCCUGGUGUGCCACUGUACCGUAGACCCGGCAAGUAGGCAUGGGGGGGAACACCUGCCAAGCAAAGGCUCGGCCACCUCCCGCAGCCAUGGUGUUCACUGCCAGUGGUGGGCCAUACUAGCUGCUCAGGCCGUGGGCCUCACUGUGGGGGACACGAUAAAGCCUCAUUUUGAUUCUGUCAGGGCUGGAAGGGUGUGUCUGCCCAGUCCAGGGACCUUCCUUCACCUGGAGGAGAGAUGUGAAACAAACCGUCAGAGCCACUGUCAAGAAACAGUGAACAACACGUAGCUGAAGGCCGGCCAGGCCCCAAAUCACUCAUGCUGAAGGACCCACCCCUUUGACUAACGCUCUCCUGGUGAAGGUCCUUCUAUAGUGGGAAGAAUAGAUUCCAGAUACCCAGACGGCUCUCUCGGUUCUCAUAGGAGCAUGAGGGAUUCUUCCCCACCCCAACCCUAAGAACUAGCAAGUAGUAACUUGAUCAAUUUAGAGUGGAAGGGAAGAUAGAGCCCCGCUCUCCAUCCUAGCUCCCUUCCUGUCCCAACAAGUCUUAUCUCGGUGCUCCAAGAGAGUUCUGCAUCCUCUGCACACUGGCAUCUAGUGCGUGCCUUGAACAACCUGGGUCCAGCCAUCAGGGUCCCUCAUCCUGUAGUCCUUACAAGAAAGGAUCUUAACAAGGUACAACCAUUUAUAUCAGCAAAAGGCCAGUCUCAUGUGCAAGACUCGAAGGGGAUAGACUCCAGGAUUCCUCACUCCCUUUGAAGUCCAUCCUUAUGGGUGUGGUGAUGCCAGCAGAUUCCCUGCCGAGGAGGUAUUAGAGGGCUGGUGUGGGGAAUCUUUUGAGCACAGGGCUUUUCCUGUAGGAAUAAACAGCUGGAUUCCUGACACCCUCCCCCCCCACCUCCAAGAACACAUUCCUUAGCCUCCCCUUUUGCUGUGUGUGUGUGUCUGUGUGUUUGUGUGUCUAUGCCUAUGUUGGGGGUCUCCACUCUCAGUCCCGGGAUCUGACAGGACGGCCUCCUGGCCCCAAACUUCCAACUCAAAGGAGAGUGGGGGGGCGGGUCUGGCUAGUGGGUUUAAUUAAGGUUCUAUGCUUCAUGCCCCAAACUUCCCCUGAGCGAGGCUCCUGCGGGACUCACCCGCUGGAUCUCAGAUGUCGCCAGGGCACGGGGUCCGCUGUUCCGCCUCCGCUGACGCUGGCUCUGACUAGGGCUGAAGCUGGGCUCUGGUGGGGCUCCCGCACCGCUCCGGCGUGGGGCGGGGCUGGACCAGGUCCGCCCCUCGCUCCCCCCUCCCCAGAUUCGGGGAAACCUCCUCCCGCCUUAACUCUGCACAUGCCACGGCAGGAGUAGGGCGCACGGACCCACGGUCACCCAAAAUGAACAGACAGGCAUAUGGACAUCCGGCCGGCCAGGAUUUAGGGUUCUACCUGGGGCGAUGAUAGAAAUGAGGCGAGCGGCGAGCAACACAACACCGGUGUGGAGCUACGGGGCUGCGGUCACAGCGGGCGGCUCUGAUUUGCUUAUGUUCCAGUGAAAGCAGGGUUUGGCCAGCUGCACACAGUUUCUGUGAUUGGGUUAUGUUUGGAACUCUGGGUACUUCUCAGAGGGUCUAUAAAUUUGAGGGCCCUGAGGGGUGGGGUGAGUGAUUGUUGGCCACUGGGGAUGAGAGGGGGGGAGGCUAGUUGCAGUUUGUUAGUAGUCAAAAGAAAUUAGAUUCAAGGAUCUCUAUUUAUCUCUCCCCUCUAUCCUUCUUUCUCUCCUGUCUAGUGAUAGGAGUUGAAACUGGGGGUUAGAGAGUGGGAAAAGAAGAACCCACAAAGUAGCAAAGACCAGCUCCACCCACCUACCUCUGAUUCACACCUGGGCUCAGCCUGUCUUAUGAGCAUUCUGAUCAGCUGAAGCUUCCAGUUGGAGAUCUUGGGUGAACAGUCUGCGUCUGUUCAUUGAUUCAGACCCUUUUGUGUACAGUGUUUAGCUUAAUUUUCCCAAAGCAGACCUUGAGGCAAUGACACAAGUGUGUGCGGUUAGUGUAGGAGGUGAAGCCAGGAAGCACCCGCAGAGGAGUAGCAAGAAGACCGAGGAAGGCAGCCAGUAGAGGAGGUGCCAUCAGUCAGUCACCACUGUGGGUAACUGCGACCUGGGGAUUCUGGGAGGUGAUUAGAAACAUGGGCCUUGGGCUGGCGAGAUGGCUCAGCGGGUAAGAGCACUGACUGCUCUUCCGAAGGUCCUGAGUUUGGAUCCCAGCAACCACAUGGUGGC
Long non-coding RNA from Mastomys coucha (southern multimammate mouse), 2762 nucleotides. RefSeq lists it as uncharacterized. The record is from RefSeq and is a predicted model, not a curated record. The transcript is spliced from 4 exons. Lineage: Eukaryota; Metazoa; Chordata; Mammalia; Rodentia; Muridae.